Molecule: long non-coding RNA, 3416 nt
Organism: Sciurus carolinensis (gray squirrel)
Lineage: Eukaryota; Metazoa; Chordata; Mammalia; Rodentia; Sciuridae
Exons: 3
Source: RefSeq, a predicted model, not a curated record
UUUCGGCCCCGCCUGGUUCUUGAAAUGUGCACGCACCAAACGUGUGGGCUCAGGGCGGAGAGGGGGAUGGGACUGAGAUUGGCCCUUUGGGCAGGUGACCCGUGAUUGAUUCCCAGGACGGGUUCGAGGGGAUGCAGAAGACUGUGGACUUGAGGAAGCGGGUCCUAGCGCCCGCGGAGGACAUCUAGGAGUCAGGCAUGUUAAAAUUGCGGCAUGGAGGAAACGGGAGGACUUUGGGAACUGGUGGGGUCGGGUAUAAAAGCCGGAGCUCUGGAGGGAGGACUCGUGGCAGUCCCUUUCCCAUUCUUUCAAAGGCUGUGAGGCAGGAAAGUCGAGAAUCUUCUCAAGGCUCUUGGGUAGUGACAGAGGAACAGCUGAAGACAAGGCCCUGGAGGGGCUCUUUCGCCUCCUGCGGGGCUUUCCUAGUCCCUACUUUCCCCUCCCCACCUCUUGGCUCCAGGCCUCUCUGGGUUGGGGGCCUGGAGAGGAAGGAGGCUCAGGAAAAGAAUGAGGGGGAGGUUCCUGCACGGAAGGUCACGAUGUCCUGCAGCCCGGGCAGCCUGGAGACCUGAUAAUUGGGGCAGACAAACCAGUCUCUGUCUGCAUCAGCUUCUCUCGCCAGGCUCGGGUUGGGGCCCCAGCGGGAGGACGGCAUCACUGGGGCAGGGCUGGAGGAGACCCAGAGGCCUCCCACAGAGCUGCUCCUGGGAACCUGAGGGCUGCACCGCCCAGGCUGGGAGAUAGUGCUCCCUUCAACCGCUGCAGCCCUAGGCAGAAAGCAGAACGUGAGGGCGGAAGUCCCUCCCUAUCCUAGUACGUGCUGGCAGGCCCGGGAGCCAGGGACUCCCUUCACUGGCUGCCCCGGCGGAUGUUGGGGGCAGGGUGACUCAGCAGAAAUAAGACUUGGAAAGCUAGAGAAGAGUGGGCAGUCUUCAAGGACACUAUGACCAGUGUGACCUGUACAUGAAGAACUAGACCUCCUGCACAUCUGGUUUGGCCCCUCGUCGCAAUUUGCCUACAACGGACAAAAGAGUUCCGAAGAUGGACUCAUCUGACAGUUUAUCUCCAAAGCAGUCAAAAUUGUCGAGCAUCUUGCGGAGACCUCGCUCUGUGAGGGGCAGCUGUGACACACAGUAGGCCAGGUCCCGGUACUGUCGCUCAGUUCUGCAGAUGGGAAGGGCUUUGUGAGCAACAGCUCAAGGGUUAUCCUUCCUCCUAGGUCUCCCUUGGUCCCAGGUAUGCCACUGGGGGGUUCUUUCCCCCACAUGGCUACUGUUAGCACAGAGAUCUUUCAGGGAAGGUAAUGUACCGGGCUGUGCGGAACCGCUGACAUAGCUUCUCCACCAAGCUCUCGGUCUGCUUGUCCUUGGUGAUGUAGGAGAGGAGCUGCCUGCAGAAGGGGAAGUGAGGAUGUGUGAUCAGCAAAGAGCACCUCCAUCCUCAUCCACUAAGGCCUAUGCUGGACCCUAACCUAGCACCAGACUUCUCUGCCCUUGCUCAGUAGAAGAAUGUUCUUGGUCAUGGCUCUCUAAUUGCCUCACAUGCUCCUCUUGCCCUCUCCCAGACAUUAGAGAACCCGCCCCCCCAGAAAUUUUUAUUGUGAAUAGAAAUUAACAAGAAAAGCUGCCAUUUGGGAGAACUACUGUGUGCCUUCUGCCAUGGUAAGAAUAGUAUCUUAUUUAAUAUGAGACAAGUAGUAUAAACCUCAUUUUAUAGCAGAGGAAAUAGGCACAGAGAAAGUCAAGUUACUGCUGAAGGCCAUGUGGCUAAAAAGAAGCAGACCUAGGGUUGGAGGUGCACAUCGGUGGCUGAGGGCUGGCCAGGGAUUAUGUGAGGCCAUGGGUUCAUCCCCAAGUGCUGCCAAAAGAAUAAAUGAAUGAAUAAAGCUGAGCUGGAAUUCCAAUUCAGGUAUGUCUGAUUCCUAAGCCUCUGUGCUAGUGAAAAUGUGCUCCAAGGCCCAGGGAACUAUACUUCAUGAUGGUGUGAAAACACUCUUCCUCCACCCCACCCUCGGGGUCUGACAGGCGGCUGAUGAUAUCUGGAAGGAGAUUAUAGAUGGCGUUGCCCUGUAGAGGAGAAAGAAUCAUGCUAAAGAGAUGAGGUGAUCUACAUAUUCCUUCUGCAGCAGGACCCAAGUUGCCUCUUCACCUCUCACCUUGUGAGAAAGCUCAUUGAAGAAGUUCUUGGCUAAGGCAGCGAUCUGAGGCUCAGGGUCGAUAAGUAGCACAGCCAUCUCGCUCACCUGCCCCUUCACUUUUACCAUGUCCUUUAGGAUCAAGUGGGUCAUCACCAGCCCUGCUGUCUUCCGCACUUGUGGAGCUGGGUCCCUGAGGCUAGGAAUGAAAUCUCAAGUCAUUGGGACCAAGACCUCUCAGCUACACCUUAAAAUCAGCAGGAAAGGCCCUCGGCAGGGAUCUAUUACCCACAGGAUGCCAUGCUAGAAGCAGUUAGAAUGCUGUCUACAGUUGAAAGCUGUAGUUAGGGGGAAAGGCAAAACUUGUAGCCAAAGCACUGCACUGAAGCUUCAAUUCUCUUAGAGUCACAGUUAGUCAGGGGCCUAUACAGGUUAAGUAUCAAGUAGAUGUUGAAGGUAGUGUCAAGACUAGGGAAAUAUAUACAGUCUUACAGACCCUCACACUGACAUAACAGACUGUGGGAACAAUCAGGGACAACUCAAAUGCAAGGGAUCUCUUACCGAGCAUACAGAUGAGGUGUCCAGGGAUCCACCAAGUUGGGAAAACGGAUGGCCAGAUCCCCAGUAGCAAUCAUGAGAUUAGACCGAACAAUGGGGAGCGAAGACUUUUCUAGCAUGGUGAACAGAAGACGAAGCUGGGAGUCACAGAAAGUAGCACUAGGGGCAAGGAGAGGAACAUCAGAGAAGUCAUAUCAUCUCCAUCCUCUUUUGAAAUAGUACCAACUCAGGGACUACCUGAUCAUGCAGAACUUGCCAAGGGCAAGUGAAGCAGCUGCAGAGAGGUCUGGGUUGCCAUAGAGGCCAGGGUUGUUGCAGACUUUGAGCAAAAGUGGAACAAAGGCAGCCAGUAUCUGUUUGCCUGUUGGAAGAACAACUCUGUUUGGGAUGUGUUAUCUCAAUUGGGGAGGUCACCUAGCAAUUUUUCUUACCAUCCAAGAGUUCCAUCUCACAGAUGCUACGGAUUAAUUCUGCCUCUGUGUCAUCAGCGGUGGCCCCCACCAACCCCAGCUCCUCCUCCAUGGUGGUCUCGGAGCUUGAAUUCUAAAGGAAAAGAUCACGGUGGUCUGUUCAUGAGUGACCAGAGACAUCAUAUUAUAGCCUAACACUUCAUUUUGCAUGAAGAUCUGAGGAAAGGUGAUGUCUACAAAACCAUUCAUAAAAUUGCCAAAUGUUUGUGUAUGUAAAGAGAAAGCUUUUUUUUUUUUUUUGUAUUGGGGAUUAA